This 404-nucleotide ribosomal RNA is filed under the name uncultured bacterium. RNAcentral describes it as "bacterial SSU rRNA". It matches the Rfam family "Bacterial small subunit ribosomal RNA", at positions 356 to 774 of the family's 1533-position model. The record is from RNAcentral.
GGGGGAUAUUGCACAAUGGAGGAAACUCUGAUGCAGCGACGCCGCGUGAGGGAAGAAGGUCUUCGGAUUGUAAACCUCUGUCUUUGGGGACGAAGAAAGUGACGGUACCCAAAGAGGAAGCCACGGCUAACUACGUGCCAGCAGCCGCGGUAAUACGUAGGUGGCGAGCGUUGUCCGGAAUUACUGGGUGUAAAGGGUGCGUAGGCGGACUGGCAAGUUGGAUGUGAAAUCUCCGCGCUUAACGUGGAGGUUGCAUUCAAAACUGUUGGUCUUGAGUGAGGCAGAGGCAGGCGGAAUUCCCGGUGUAGCGGUGAAAUGCGUAGAGAUCGGGAGGAACACCAGUGGCGAAGGCGGCCUGCUGGGCCUUAACUGACGCUGAGGCACGAAAGCAUGGGUAGCAAACA